ACCAGUUGAUCCUGCUGGAGGCGACCCCUAUCGGGCUCCGGCUAAGCUAUGCAAGUCUACCAGCGGGGGGCGGCCCGCUGGUGGCGCACGGCUCCGUAAUACACGGUCAAUCUACCCUCGGGACCGGGAUAUCCCCGGGAAACUGGGGGUAAUCCCGGAUAGCAGUAGGGUGCUGGAAUGCCCCUACUGUGAAAGUAGCCUGGCCCCUGCCAGGUGAUGCCCGAGGAUGAGACCGUGGCCGAUCAGGUAGUUGGUGGGGUAACGGCCCACCAAGCCGAUAACCGGUACGGGCUGUGAGAGCAGGAGCCCGGAGAUGGGCACUGAGACAAGGGCCCAAGCCCUACGGGGCGUAGCAAGCGCGAAAACUCCGCAAUGCGCGAAAGCGCGACGGGGGGAGCCCGAGUGCCCCCCGAAGAGGGGGGCUGUCGCCGGAUGUAAAAAGUCCGGUAUAGGAAGGGGAGGGUAAGGCUGGUGCCAGCCGCCGCGGUAAAACCAGCUCCCCGAGGGGUCGCCACGCAUACUGGGCUUAAAGCGUCCGUAGCCCGCCUAGCAAGUCCCCGGUUAAAUCCGCCAGAAGACUGGCGGGCCGCCGGGGAUACUGCUAGGC
Molecule: ribosomal RNA, 607 nt
Rfam family: Archaeal small subunit ribosomal RNA